UAUCAGCAUCCAAGUUGAAGUGAAGAAUAAUACACAAAUCACAGUCAUUGUGAGGUAAAAAUACUAAGUGUAAAUUAAUUAUGCAAAUGGAAAACACUGCACAUUGAUGGUUGACGAGAACCCCCAAUGAGAAAGGUGAAGUGACAAGUCAUAGAUAUGGUGACAACAUUAGCCUGAUGUAAGUCUACUGACACUGAGCCAAAAUCAACUUGAGGCAAAGCCAAGCAUUCUUAUCUGUUUUGCAGUACCUUGCGUCUUCUCAACUCAACUUUUGAUAGGGAUAUUACAUUUUUC
Haliotis rufescens (red abalone) is the source of this 294-nucleotide long non-coding RNA. RefSeq lists it as uncharacterized. NCBI's taxonomy places the organism in Eukaryota, Metazoa, Mollusca, Gastropoda, Lepetellida, Haliotidae. The transcript has 2 exons. The record is from RefSeq and is a predicted model, not a curated record.